Molecule: ribosomal RNA, 671 nt
Filed under: uncultured rumen bacterium
Lineage: Bacteria
Description: bacterial SSU rRNA
Rfam family: Bacterial small subunit ribosomal RNA
Source: RNAcentral
GCUUCUGAAGAAUCAUUUGAAGUACUUAGUGGCGGACGGGUGAGUAACGCGUGGGUAACCUGCCUCACACUGGGGGAUAGCAGUUGGAAACGACUGAUAGCACCGCAUAAGCGCACAAUACCGCAUGGUAUGGUGUGAAAAACUCCGGUGGUGUGAGAUGGACCCGCGUCUGAUUAGCCAGUUGGCGGGGUAACGGCCCACCAAAGCGACGAUCAGUAGCCGGCCUGAGAGGGUGUACGGCCACAUUGGGACUGAGACACGGCCCAAACUCCUACGGGAGGCAGCAGUGGGGAAUAUUGCACAAUGGGGGAAACCCUGAUGCAGCGACGCCGCGUGAGCGAUGAAGUAUUUCGGUAUGUAAAGCUCUAUCAGCAGGGAAGAUAAUGACGGUACCUGACUAAGAAGCACCGGCUAAAUACGUGCCAGCAGCCGCGGUAAUACGUAUGGUGCAAGCGUUAUCCGGAUUUACUGGGUGUAAAGGGUGCGUAGGUGGUUGCGCAAGUCAGAAGUGAAAACUAUGGGCUCAACCCAUAGACUGCUUUUGAAACUGCGUAACUAGAGUGCAGGAGAGGAAAGUGGAAUUCCUAGUGUAGCGGUGAAAUGCGUAGAUAUUAGGAAGAACACCAGUGGCGAAGGCGGCUUUCUGGACUGCAACUGACACUGAGGCACGA